RNAcentral lists this ribosomal RNA (309 nucleotides) under Syntrophaceae bacterium. Its description in RNAcentral is "bacterial LSU rRNA". It matches the Rfam family "Bacterial large subunit ribosomal RNA", at positions 2626 to 2925 of the family's 2925-position model. The record is from RNAcentral. Lineage: Bacteria; Pseudomonadati; Thermodesulfobacteriota; Syntrophia; Syntrophales; Syntrophaceae.
ACAGUUCGGUCCCUAUCUGUUGUGGGCGCAGGAUAUUUGAGAGGAGCUGUCCCUAGUACGAGAGGACCGGGAUGGACGAACCUCUGGUGUACCAGUUGUCGUGCCAACGGCAUUGCUGGGUAGCUAAGUUCGGAAGGGAUAACCGCUGAAAGCAUCUAAGCGGGAAGCCCACCUCAAGAUAAGAUAUCCCUCUUGAUGGAGACAUCAGGACUGAAGACCCCUCGUAGACCACGAGGUUGAUAGGUCAGGUGUGCAAGCACAGUAAUGUGUUGAGCUUACUGAUACUAAUCGGUCGUGAGGCUUGACCAU